This 228-nucleotide long non-coding RNA is filed under the name Elaeis guineensis (African oil palm). RNAcentral's name for it is "long non-coding RNA (EGUI_LNC064648)". Lineage: Eukaryota; Viridiplantae; Streptophyta; Magnoliopsida; Arecales; Arecaceae. The record is from RNAcentral.
CCCUGUAGAUGAUCUCUGCAUAGCCUGAGGUUCUGAUGAAGCCACGCAAGUGCUUGGCCUCUACAGGUAUCCACUCAGCUAGAAUCUGGAACAUCUUCUCCUUGUAAUUCUAUGCUCCAAAACUUAGAUCUUUAUCUGAUUUGAAAGUACUUCAGAACUCCUUCUGAAGUUGGAGCAGCAGCCUGUCGAAGAUGUCCUGCAGCCUUCCGUUCCAGGCAUCACCACGCC